GCCGGGCAUGGUGGCGCAUGCCUGUAAUCCUAGCGGCUUGGGAGGCUAAGGCAGGAGGAUCGUGAGUUCAAAGCCAGCCUCAACAACUUAGUAAGGCCCUAAGCAACUCAGUGAGACCCUGUCUCUA
RNAcentral lists this small RNA (127 nucleotides) under Marmota monax (woodchuck). The record is from RNAcentral. Lineage: Eukaryota; Metazoa; Chordata; Mammalia; Rodentia; Sciuridae.